CCACCGGCGCGCACAGCGUGAGGUCACCGAGCGUCCGCACGCCGUGCGCAGCCCCAGCACAGCUGACAGCCGAGGAGCAGGAAGCGGCGAGGACGGAGCGUGCGCUGCUUCCUGCUCCUCCGCCACUAGCGCUCAUUAGUAUUCGCCCCCAGGGGCACGCGUCUUGUGGGAUCCCCCAUAACAGUGCACCUACGCACUGAGGAGAAACAGAAAGGAGGAGAAAGAAUCCGCGGAAGCAAGCAGAGGACAGCAUAGCAGACGACUGAAUAUAUAUAUUUUUUAGGGACAAACAUUUGCCAAAUGAUUUAUACCUCCACAACAGAAACAAACCCUCCGAGAG
Bufo gargarizans (Asiatic toad) is the source of this 340-nucleotide long non-coding RNA. RefSeq lists it as uncharacterized. The record is from RefSeq and is a predicted model, not a curated record. NCBI's taxonomy places the organism in Eukaryota, Metazoa, Chordata, Amphibia, Anura, Bufonidae. The transcript has 3 exons.